Molecule: long non-coding RNA, 6025 nt
Organism: Vespa velutina
Lineage: Eukaryota; Metazoa; Arthropoda; Insecta; Hymenoptera; Vespidae
Exons: 3
Source: RefSeq, a predicted model, not a curated record
AAAGUUUUACAAAGUUUUUGUUAAAAUUCAUUAUUGUACGAAUACUUUUUACAUUUACUAUAGAUAAUGUAAAAUGGAUGAAGAAGACAUAUCGGAUGGUACGAUUUUGGAUCUUUCGCGUCUUUAUCCUCUCCCUUCAAGAGUACUCUUAAGAAAUUCUUUGCCUAGACAGAGGGAAACAUAGAUACUCCAUCGAAGGUAUUCGUUAAACAAUUCUACGAAGUGACUCGGGAUAGCAGUGAAGUCUCUUUCGCAUACAUAUUUCUAUAUUAAGUCCGGGAUCGGACUUAAUUAAAAAUCGUUCUUGAGCGAUUUAAUUAAUUGUACUACCUCAUCCUUCAUAAAAGGGGGGCAUUCACCGUUUCAGGCGUGAUACGCGAACUAUAUCUUAUUUAUCGUUGCUCUGGGGUAUCCCAAGAAGCUUCAUUAGGAUUGCCCCAUACCUUAACUUAAUUAUUUUUCGAACUUAAAUGAAAACAAGAUCAUAAAAUUCACUGCAACAUGUUGUUCGGUGCAAUAAAGUUACAACAUCAACAACAUGCACAUCUAAUCACAUUCAACAACAAAAAACCCAUUUAUGCUGAAAGUAUUUUAUCAAACAGUAAUUAUCAAGGCAGAUCUACUACUCCAAUGCAUAACGCAUUGUUAUGUACUGUAACAAGGUUUCUAUAAGUUGCUGUUUGUUGAAAAUGUUGUAAGAAAUACAGCAACAGAAGGUGAUAAUAACUUCUUCGUUAUUACUUCAGUGAGAAUAACAUUUUAGAGCUAAAACGUGGUCGUUAUUUAAUGUUAUUGUGUUAAAAAAUGGCCUCUCCGUUCUUUCUUCUCUUGUCAAUCCAUACGUGAGCGCGUGUUUCAAUAUAUUCCUAUUAUAAAUACACAACGGUUAUCUUAGCAAGGCUAAUAUUAUCGUGCCGUUCAAAAAUAAAUUAUCGCCUUAUUGAGAGAAAGAAAAUUUUACAGAACUAAUUGAAUCUAAUUAAAUGCACCCUUACAGAACUAAUUGAAUCUAAUUAAAUGCACCCUUACAGAAAGAAAGAGAGAGAGAGAGAGAGACAGACGGACAGAUAGAAACAAAGACAGAGACGACUUUCAUCUUUACACUUUGCUGUUAAAGGCGAACGAAUUAUCCCCUUGUCUCCUCACUCAAACUCAUCGUCGAUGUAUUUUUAUCAUUAAUUAACAAGGAAGAAAAAAUUACGUAUAACAAAAUGACAUUCUUCACAUGAUUUUAUGUAUAAAACAUAUAUUAACCAUCUAACUUCGUCGCCUUUUAAUGAUUAACUUUCAUUUCCAUAUAACAGCCUUUUUUCUGCUUCCAAUAUUUUCCAACAAGUUAUUUUUUCUCUCAAACUAUGUUUUUACGAUUGUUUAAAAUUUACUUAAGAACUGCUAGGAUGCAACAUUGCACGACUUACUACUUAAUACUUACUGCCCUUCUGUUCCUAAAAUCACGCUAUUCAUCCUAAUUAACCAUUUAAGAAGAAUUUCAACUACCUAUCAAAUUAAUUCUUCAUGAAUCAUUUACCACUAAACACAUCUCUGUCCUUGCUAAAGUUCUCUCUUAUCAACUAAAUAUAAUCCUCAUUUUUUAUUAUCAACCAAAUAAAAUCUUCAUCCUCACUCACUUCUCUUCGAACUUUCGAAGUUUGCAAUAUAUGCGGAUCGUUCUCGCCUUUUUUUGUGGAUAAAGAAGCCAUAUCCACCCAGAAAUUUUUUUUUUCAUUUUUUUUAUAUUUUGUAAGAGUUACAAGUUUUAAUAAUAUACUUUGAAAAUUGCUCAUCAAUAUUUGUAAAAUUGACGAAAUUGUAGAAUUCUAAGUAAAUGCAUUUGAACAUCCAAAUGUUCGAUCUCUACUACCUAAACUGUUUGACCUCUACUCACCUGAAAUAUUGAGUACAGAAAACCCACUCUAGUUAAGAAUUUAAAAUUUCAGUAAUGUUUUAUAAAAAAAUCCGAGGAAAGCUUUUUAAAAUUCUUAUUAAUGUUCAUAAAAAUAUGAAGAAAACGAAGAAAUCAAAAUUUACUUGUUUACGAUAACUGUAUGUUUUAAAAAAAAGAUAUAAACAUAAAGGAUCCAACUCCUUAUUAUCACUCAGUUAAUAAUGUAUGAACUAAUUGAUCGUCCAGAAAAUUCAGUAAGAAAGCUGUUGAUCUAGUAAAUGGUUAUACUAACAGACUUUACGCAUUUAAUCUUCGUUUGUAUAUUUGAAUUUCAAAACAUAUAUAAAAAAAGUAAUAAUGGCAUCGAAAAAAAAUUUCUUGAGAAACGAGAGUUCUUUUUACACAUAUGAAGCAGACCAAAUCUUUGCUUAUAUGUACGAUAACAAUCUGUCAUAUACAUUCACAGUUUUGAUCCAGUCUUACAAUAGGAUUCAGUUGUACACACAAUUUUGACAUAUAUUCAAAACAACAUUCAGCUAGUGACAACCUCCUUUGUCACACUUUUGCUAAGUAUCGCAACUUCAACAUUUCGAGUAAUCACCUAACAAUAAGAAUUUAUUUAAUAGUUCUGAAAUACAGCUCAGAACGUCUAAGAUAGGGUCUAUUCGUCAAUUCUACUGAUGAGUAUUGUAACAAAUGUAGAAUAAAACGUUAUUGUAAUAUCCUAGAUCUUUAAGAUGUAACAUUACAAGUUGUAUAAAUACUCCGCCUCGAUACAAAUAAAAUCGUAUUCAAAUUAAAUUGUUUGCCUUCAGCAUUUUAAAACUGUGCCACUAGUAAUUGAACUUAUUUUUUACACAUAAUCUCUCUACGAACGUUAUUUAUUCUUUCAAGAAAUCUCCAUUUAACAAUACACGAACUAAACGCAAGCAUAAUAGAUUUACAUCAACCACUUUUUCAGAUCAUCUAUGAUCUAAUCAUAAAUAACUUAGUAAGUGCUUAGUUACUGAUUGCAAACUAUUAUUUCAUAGAUUGAAGAAAAAAAUAGCCGAUGAAAACGAAUAAUCGAGAAGUAGAGGGAUCAACGAUAGAAGUUUCUCGUUGAUCCCUCCGUGAUCCGUGCCUCGAAACACGGAUCACGGAGAAAAUUAGGAUUCAAUUCCUUGCACGACAUCUCAACUAUGAUUGAAAAUUAUCGAUAUUUUAUUAUAGUUAUUGUAGAAUAUCUUCAGUAAUUUCACUCUCAUCAUAACAAUUGUUCUUAUAAUUAUAAAAGAUCAACGGAAAAAAUGGAAAUCGACGCUGUUCGUGAAAUGUUCCAAUGAUCUGAACUCAUUUAUAAAGUAAAGUAUAUCAAUUAUAUAGAUGACUGGAAAAUCUAUUAUAUAGAUGACUCGAGAAUAGUAAAUGCUUCUCUGUACACUUUUUUAUUAUUCCUGUUACGUCUUACAGACAUUUAUUUCUUCUUUACUCACACUUAACCCUUAGCGCUCCGUUGGCUCCGCUACGGAGACAUCUGCCAUUUGUUUCGUAACUGCGAAGGCUCCGCUGCGAAGCCAAAUGUUUUUACCAUGUGAUUAUGUUUAAGAUGCUACGUUAAUUAAGAAAAAUGAAGUGCCACUUGACCGGUACCAUAAAAACAAACAGAAAAGGUGUUCCAACAACUCUGAAGAAACCAAAAUUAUAUGAAAAAAGGACUGUCGCAUACAAACAAGGAAAUACAAUGCUCAUAGUUUGAAGGGAUAAGAGGAUAGUAUCGUUAUUGAGCAACUGACAUAAUGCUGAAAUGAUAACUACUAGAAGAUUUAUACGAGGUGGUACAAAAAAAGCCAAGUAGCUGUUGGGUACACAAAGUCGAUGGGUGGAGUUGAUCAAGCUGAUCAAUAUGCCUCUAGUUAUUUUUGAAGAAAUCUCUUAAGUGGUGGCAGAAAUUGUUUUUCUAGGGAAUGGAGAUAUUAAUAAUUAAUUCAAAUACAUUCUCUAUAAAACUGUACAGUACAAUAAAAAUGAGAAAGCAUUUACAGUAUAGAAAUGCAUUGACGCAGUUACAGUAUAAAAAAAUUGUAGUCGAUCAACUUGUAGGAGAUUUUCGAUAGAACAAGAGUUUCUACAUCAAUUUCUGAAAUCAGACUAAACGGAAAACUUCACAUAAUGAGAAAAGAUGCAAAGAGGAACUGCGUUGUGUGUUCUAAAAGGAAACAAAUGGAUGGCAGACGUCAAACAAAUGAUUACUAUGAUUAUUUGCCCAAGUAAACCCAGAAUGCACAUGGGAGAUUGUUUCCAAGGAUAUCACACCAUGCACGGUGAGACAGUAAGCAUACAUCGUAUGGCUGCUGGCUCAAAUAUGCCACCAAUAAAAUUAAAAAUCUCAAAAUUAAGAGACACCUGCUUCAUACGGAACACAUCAAAUAACAAAGUAGAGGAUAUCGACAUGUUCACUAACGCUUCAAUCUAUCGAGGUGAAUCUCUAUCUACUAGCAAAAAGAGGAAAUCUAAUACGUUCAUCAAUCCAAAAUGUGGCUACAAGAUAUACCUACAUACAACUCAUAUAGUAUCUUCUCCGAAACCGAUGCUAUACUAAGGCUUAAGUCAUUGAACCGGUGAUAGAAUUAUUUGUACAACAAGCAGAUAACAACAAUUUUACUUUAAAGCAACUCAAAGAUAAUUAGACAAAAAUCCAAUUAUCAUCCUCGGGUCACUAUAGGAAAGUAAUAAACGAGUUAAAAACACAAAUUAAUUAACCAAAUAACAGCUGCUAUAGAAAACAAGAAAUACUGUACAUGUCUAUGUCUAUUCUUAGACAUAGAAAAAGCCUUUGAUAAGGUAUGGCAUGAAGGCUUAUUGAAAACUAUAAAACAACACUUCCCAGUACCAAUUUAUCUAUUACUUAAAUCAUACCUGAUAUACUUAAUAUACCUAAAUAUUGCAAAAGUUGAAGACUCGUACUCAGCUGUACAUGCAAUAUUUACCGGUGUAUCACAAGGAAGUGUACUAAUUCCGGACCUUUAUACGCUUACACUGCAGAUAUCCCGACAACGCAAAACACUAUAUUCGCCAACGACACUGCAAUCUUAGCCACACACGAAGAUCCAUAAGAAGUAGCUAAAAUCUUGCAAAAUCACAUAAAAUUGCUUGAAAAAUGGCUGAUAGAUCGAAAAAUUAAAGUUAACUACAAUAAAUGUAAUCACAUUACAUUCACUUUUCACAAAAGCAAAGUACCAGCAGUCAUUAUACACAAUAAUGAAAUACCGCAAACAAAAUCAAUCAAAUAUUUGGGUUUGCACCUUAACUCCAAACUAACCAGGAAACAACACAUUCAUAAAAAAAUACUACAAAUUAAACUUAAAAGAAAAGACGUUUACUGGUUAACAGACCGAAAAUCUAAACUAAGUAUAGAAAAUAAGUUACUAAUAUACAAAAUAAUAAUAAAACCUAUUUGGAUGUACAGCAUCUAGUUAUGGGGCACGACAGCUAAAAGGCAUAUUUCCAAAAUGGAAGCUAUGUAAUCAAUAAUAAUCCGCACCAUUGUGGAUGCGCCAUGGUAUGUCAAAAACGAGGAUUUACGUAAAGAUUUAUAAAUUCCAGCAGUAUCAAAGUCUGACAAAUAUAAAUCAAGGAUCUUAAACCAUACAAAGCGGCUAGCCAACACUCUCUACAAUAACAAUACAGUAAGAAGAUUUAAAAAGAAAGGCCUCAAGAUCUAGUUACGCAAGUCUGAAACAACAGGAUAUUGUAAUAGUGCUAUACCAAUUCAGUAAAACAACUCGCUGAAUGUCUCACGUUACAAAUUGCGGGAAAAUUCCUGGGAGUUAUAAAAAAAAAAAAAAAAAAUUUACGUAAAAGUAUCACCGUUGACAUAAUAAAAAGAUACAUCAAAGAAGAUAAGAUUGAAUUUAUUUCGCAAAAAGGAUGACCAAAACUGCUUAACUCACGCGAGGAGAGUAGAAUUCUAUGAAAAGUAAAAAAUAAUCUUGAAUUAAGUGCUCCAAGAUUAACUUCAGAAUUAUUUAAAGAAAGUGGAGAGUGAAAAGAAUUUAAGUACAACUCGUCCGUCAAGUGUUGUAUAAAGGUGGUUAUCAUGGAAAGAUAGCUCGAAAGAAGCCAUUCAUAAAUGACAUGAAUCGAAAGAAACGAAUAACA